CGGCGUGGAUAAGACAUGCAAGUCGAACGGGAGAAUUGCUAGCUUGCUAAUAAUUCUCUAGUGGCGCACGGGUGAGUAACACGUGAGUGACCUGCCUCUUAGUGGGGGAUAGCCCUGGGAAACCGGGAUUAAUACCGCAUACGAUUGAGAGAUCAAAGCAGCAAUGCGCUAGGAGAUGGGCUCGCGGCCUAUUAGUUAGUUGGUGAGGUAACGGCUCACCAAGGCGAUGACGGGUAGCCGGUCUGAGAGGAUGUCCGGCCACACUGGAACUGAGACACGGUCCAGACACCUACGGGUGGCAGCAGUCGAGAAUCAUUCACAAUGGGGGCAACCCUGAUGGUGCGACGCCGCGUGGGGGAAUGAAGGUCUUCGGAUUGUAAACCCCUGUCAUGUGGGAGCAAAUUAAAAAGAUAGUACCACAAGAGGAAGAGACGGCUAACUCUGUGCCAGCAGCCGCGGUAAUACAGAGGUCUCAAGCGUUGUUCGGAAUCACUGGGCGUAAAGCGUGCGUAGGCUGUUUCGUAAGUCGUGUGUGAAAGGCAGGGGCUCAACCCCUGGAUUGCACAUGAUACUGCGAGACUAGAGUAAUGGAGGGGGAACCGGAAUUCUCGGUGUAGCAGUGAAAUGCGUAGAUAUCGAGAGGAACACUCGUGGCGAAGGCGGGUUCCUGGACAUUAACUGACGCUGAGGCACGAAGGCCAGGGGAGCGAAAGGGAUUAGAUACCCCUGUAGUCCUGGCAGUAAACGGUGCACGCUUGGUGUGCGGGGAAUCGACCCCCUGCGUGCCGGAGCUAACGCGUUAAGCGUGCCGCCUGGGGAGUACGGUCGCAAGAUUAAAACUCAAAGAAAUUGACGGGGACCCGCACAAGCGGUGGAGUAUGUGGCUUAAUUCGAUGCAACGCGAAGAACCUUACCUGGGCUUGACAUGUAAUGAACAACAUGUGAAAGCAUGCGACUCUUCGGAGGCGUUACACAGGUGCUGCAUGGCCGUCGUCAGCUCGUGUCGUGAGAUGUUUGGUUAAGUCCAGCAACGAGCGCAACCCCUGUUGCCAGUUACCAGCACGUCAAGGUGGGGACUCUGGCGAGACUGCCCAGAUCAACUGGGAGGAAGGUGGGGACGACGUCAGGUCAGUAUGGCCCUUAUGCCCAGGGCUGCACACGUACUACAAUGCCCAGUACAGAGGGGGCCGAAGCCGCGAGGCGGAGGAAAUCCUGAAAACUGGGCCCAGUUCGGACUGUAGGCUGCAACCCGCCUACACGAAGCCGGAAUCGCUAGUAAUGGCGCAUCAGCUACGGCGCCGUGAAUACGUUCCCGGGUCUUGUACACACCGCCCGUCACAUCAUGGAAGCCGGUCGCACCCGAAGUAUCUGAAGCCAACCGCAAGGAGGCAGGGUCCUAAGGUGAGACUGGUAACUGGGAUGAAGUCAUAA
This 1431-nucleotide ribosomal RNA is filed under the name uncultured organism. RNAcentral describes it as "SSU rRNA". It matches the Rfam family "Bacterial small subunit ribosomal RNA". The record is from RNAcentral.